GCUUUCAAAGGAUAAUAGCAAUCCAAUGGUCUUAGGAGCCAUUCAUCUUGGUGCAAAUCCAAGUGAAAGCA
RNAcentral lists this transfer RNA (71 nucleotides) under Prunella modularis. RNAcentral's name for it is "tRNA-Leu". It matches the Rfam family "tRNA". Rfam says of the family: Transfer RNA (tRNA) molecules are approximately 80 nucleotides in length. Their secondary structure includes four short double-helical elements and three loops (D, anti-codon, and T loops). Further hydrogen bonds mediate the characteristic L-shaped molecular structure. tRNAs have two regions of fundamental functional importance: the anti-codon, which is responsible for specific mRNA codon recognition, and the 3' end, to which the tRNAs corresponding amino acid is attached (by aminoacyl-tRNA synthetases). tRNAs cope with the degeneracy of the genetic code in two manners: having more than one tRNA (with a specific anti-codon) for a particular amino acid; and 'wobble' base-pairing, i.e. permitting non-standard base-pairing at the 3rd anti-codon position. Lineage: Eukaryota; Metazoa; Chordata; Aves; Passeriformes; Prunellidae. RNAcentral also lists the same sequence under 1 other name. The record is from RNAcentral.